UCGCCUGUUUAUCAAAAACAUAACUACAAGUAUUUAUUUGUAGCAUUUUCUGCUCAAUGAAUCUAUUUAAAUAGCCGCAGUACCCUGACUGUGCAAAGGUAGCAUAAUCAGUUGGCUUAUAAUUGAAGUCUGGAAUGAAUGAAUAUAUGGAUGGUUACUGUUUCAGGAGAUAUAUAUGAAGUUGCUUAAAAAGUGCAAAUUCUUUUAGAUAUACAUAAGACGAGAAGACCCUGGAAAUUUUGAGAUUUUGUUGGGGCGACAUAGUGACAAUUAACUUAUUGUAUUUGACUUGAAAUUAGUUUUUAGUCGGAAUAAAUUACUCCAGGGAUAACAGCAUAAUUUAUUAAAGUUUGUGACCUCGAUGUUGGACUAGGGUGGAUCCUUGUCUAGAAGACGGGAUCCCAGGUUCUGUUCGAACUAAAAUCCCUACGUGAUCUGAGUUCAGACCGG
Molecule: ribosomal RNA, 450 nt
Filed under: Mesodon normalis
Lineage: Eukaryota; Metazoa; Mollusca; Gastropoda; Stylommatophora; Polygyridae
Description: partial 16S ribosomal RNA
Rfam family: Archaeal large subunit ribosomal RNA
Source: RNAcentral